UACGUAGGGGGCUAGCGUUGUCCGGAAUCAUUGGGCGUAAAGCGCGUGUAGGCGGUCCGGUAAGUCCGCUGUGAAAGUCGGGGGCUCAACCCUCGAAUGCCGGUGGAUACUGUCGGGCUAGAGUGCGGAAGAGGCGAGUGGAAUUCCUGGUGUAGCGGUGAAAUGCGCAGAUAUCAGGAGGAACACCGAUUGCGAAGGCAGCUCGCUGGGACGUUACUGACGCUGAGACGCGAAAGCGUGGGGAGCAAACAGG
Molecule: ribosomal RNA, 253 nt
Filed under: uncultured bacterium
Lineage: Bacteria
Description: partial 16S ribosomal RNA
Rfam family: Bacterial small subunit ribosomal RNA
Source: RNAcentral